Molecule: ribosomal RNA, 208 nt
Filed under: uncultured bacterium
Lineage: Bacteria
Description: partial 16S ribosomal RNA
Rfam family: Bacterial small subunit ribosomal RNA
Source: RNAcentral
ACGCUCGACACCUACGGGAGCAGCAGUGGGGAAUAUUGCACAAUGGGGGAAACCCUGAUGCAGCGACGCCGCGUGAGCGAAGAAGUAUUUCGGUAUGUAAAGCUCUAUCAGCAGGGAAGAAGAAAGACGGUACCUGACUAAGAAGCCCCGGCUAACUACGUGCCAGCACGCCGACGGUAAUCGUGGACGGCGGGUCGUGGACGAAGGC